This is a non-coding RNA of Danio rerio (zebrafish), 1904 nucleotides long. The record is from RefSeq and is a predicted model, not a curated record. NCBI's taxonomy places the organism in Eukaryota, Metazoa, Chordata, Actinopteri, Cypriniformes, Danionidae.
AUGACUUCGGGGACUUUAUUAGUGUGUCUGCUGCUGUGUGGAGUAGAUGUCGGCUGGUCUGGCAGGGUUUUGGUGAUGCCAGGCGAGUACAGUCACUGGCACAACAUGCGUCCAGUAAUUGAAGCUCUUGUUGAUAAAAACCACAGUGUGACGGUUCUGGUCGGCUCUUCAUCUCCUACAGUACCGCACACACAGAAGGAGCGCUUUGAAUACCACGUCUUCAAAGUCAACAUGGAGAAAGAAGUGGUCGACUAUUUGUGGAUUCAUUUCCACGAGCUUUGGAUGAAUGAAACAAUCAGCACAUACGAGAAAACACUCGAGGUCUGGCAAUUGAUGUCGUUAUUCAGGGCGCACAGUGAGGAAUUAGUCAAAGGCUUGUUUGAUGUUGGUCUUCUAAAGACGCUUCGGGAUUCUAACUAUGACGUGCUCUUCUCUGACCUGACGAUGCCGUUCUCUGACCUGAUGGCGCAGAAGCUGAACAUCCCUCAUGUUCUGUCCAUGCGGAUAUCUUUCGCUUCUGCAUUAGAGAGACUGUGUGGUCAGAUGCCUGUUCCUCAAUCAUACGUUCCUGCAGCAGUUGCUCAGGGUCAUCUGACUGACCGCAUGAGCUUCACUGAGAGAGUUGAAAACAUGCUGCUCUACAUCACACACACGGCCAUGUUCCAGCUGACCACGAAGUUUACUUUUGAUCACAUCUACGCUGAAAUAUCGGGUGAGCCCACAACAAUGUGUGAGACCAUUGGAAAAACUGACAUCUGGUUAAUAAGAACAUACUGGGAUUUCGAGUAUCCGCGUCCAUUCCCGCCUAAUUUUAAGUUUGUUGGAGGACUGCAGUGCAAACCUGCCAAACCCCUGGCAAAGGAACUGGAGGAGUUUGUUCAGAGCUCUGGAGAUCACGGCAUCGUUGUUUUCUCAUUGGGCUCCAUGAUUAAAAACCUGACCGUGCAAAAAGCAAACACUAUUGCUGCUGCUCUGGGUCAGAUCUCACAAAAGGUUGUUUGGCGUUACAGUGGGAAAACUCCAGAAACACUGGCUCCCAAUACUAAAAUCUACGACUGGAUCCCACAGAAUGAUUUGCUUGGUCAUCCAAAAACGAAGGCUUUCAUCACUCAUGGUGGCACAAAUGGACUGUAUGAGGCUAUUUAUCACGGUGUCCCGAUGGUGGGUUUGCCACUGUUUGGAGAUCAGCCUGAUAACUUAAUGCACUUGAAAAGCAAAGGAGCUGCUGUAGUCCUUGAUUUCUUCACACUGGAAUCCAAAGACCUGGUGGAUGCUCUGAAGACCGUCUUAAAUAACCCAUCGUACAAGGAGAGCAUCAUGAGGCUGUCCAGAAUCCACCACGAUCAGCCGAUGAAGCCGCUGGAUCAGGCCGUGUACUGGAUUGAGUUUGUGAUGCGGAAUAAAGGAGCCAAACAUCUCCGAGUUCAGGCGCAUGAGCUGAGCUGGUAUCAGUACCACUGUCUGGAUGUAGCGGCCUUCUUACUCUCCAUCACCGCUCUGAUCACAUUCCUCUGGGUUAAAGCAUGCUGCUUCCUUUUCCGCAGAUGUGUCAGGAAAACCCGUCCUGAGAGAAAGAGUAAAAAGGAGUGAAUGCAAAGUAGGAUUCCAAUAAAAAUAAUGCAGUCAUGCGGCUGCAGUGUGCGUCCUGAGACGUGUAUGAUUGUGCAUUUUGUUUAUAUUCCAAACUGGAAUGUUCUUAAUGAACCUAAUGUGAAUCUUCAUGUAAAAGGUGUUUUAACAGGUGUUUUCUGUUUAUUUACGGUUAAGAAAUGUAUGAUGAGAUGUUGAUCUCUGCUCUGCUUGAUGUUGAGUUCAACCCUGCAAUUGAACGGGCGCUUAGUGGUUAGCAUUAUGUCCUCACAGCAAGAAGGUCACUAGUUCGAGUCUCGGCUGGGCCAGUUAGC